Molecule: ribosomal RNA, 497 nt
Filed under: uncultured bacterium
Lineage: Bacteria
Description: partial 16S ribosomal RNA
Rfam family: Bacterial small subunit ribosomal RNA
Source: RNAcentral
GAUGAACGCUGGCGGCGUGCCUAAUACAUGCAAGUCGAGCGAACAGACGAGGAGCUUGCUCCUCUGACGUUAGCGGCGGACGGGUGAGUAACACGUGGAUAACCUACCUAUAAGACUGGGAUAACUUCGGGAAACCGGAGCUAAUACCGGAUAAUAUAUUGAACCGCAUGGUUCAAUAUUGAAAGACGGUUUUGCUGUCACUUAUAGAUGGAUCCGCGCCGCAUUAGCUAGUUGGUAAGGUAACGGCUUACCAAGGCAACGAUGCGUAGCCGACCUGAGAGGGUGAUCGGCCACACUGGAACUGAGACACGGUACAGACUACUACGGGAGGCAGCAGUAGGGAAUCUUCCGCAAUGGGCGAAAGCCUGACGGAGCAACGCCGCGUGAGUGAUGAAGGUCUUCGGAUCGUAAAACUCUGUUAUUAGGGAAGAAAAAAUGUGUAAGUAACUAUGCACGUCUUGACGGUACCUAAUCAGAAAGCCACGGCUAACUACGUG